This 323-nucleotide ribosomal RNA is filed under the name uncultured Enterococcus sp. RNAcentral describes it as "bacterial SSU rRNA". The stretch from base 1 to 198 matches the Rfam family "Bacterial small subunit ribosomal RNA", at positions 350 to 540 of the family's 1533-position model. The record is from RNAcentral. Lineage: Bacteria; Bacillati; Bacillota; Bacilli; Lactobacillales; Enterococcaceae.
AGCAGUGGGGAAUCUUCGGCAAUGGACGAAAGUCUGACCGAGCAACGCCGCGUGAGUGAAGAAGGUUUUCGGAUCGUAAAACUCUGUUGUUAGAGAAGAACAAGGAUGAGAGUAAAAUGUUCAUCCCUUGACGGUAUCUAACCAGAAAGCCACGGCUAACUACGUGCCAGCAGCCGCGGUAAUACGUGCCAGCAGCCGCGGUAAUACGUGCCAGCAGCCGCGGUAAUACGUAGGUGCCAGCAGCCGCGGUAAUACGUAGGUGCCAGCAGCCGCGGUAAUACGUGCCAGCAGCCGCGGUAAUACGUGCCAGCAGCCGCGGUAAU